Molecule: ribosomal RNA, 497 nt
Filed under: uncultured bacterium
Lineage: Bacteria
Description: partial 16S ribosomal RNA
Rfam family: Bacterial small subunit ribosomal RNA
Source: RNAcentral
GAUGAACGCUGGCGGCGUGCCUAAUACAUGCAAGUCGAGCGAACAGAUGAGGAGCUUGCUCCUCUGACGUUAGCGGCGGACGGGUGAGUAACACGUGGAUAACCUACCUAUAAGACUGGGAUAACUUCGGGAAACCGGAGCUAAUACCGGAUAAUAUAUUGAACCGCAUAGUUCAAUAGUGAAAGACGGUUUUGCUGUCACUUAUAGAUGGAUCCGCGCCGCAUUAGCUAGUUGGUAAGGUAACGGCUUACCAAGGCAACGAUGCGUAGCCGACCUGAGAGGGUGAUCGGCCACACUGGAACUGAGACACGGUCCAGACUCCUACGGGAGGCAGCAGUAGGGAAUCUUCCGCAAUGGGCGAAAGCCUGACGGAGCAACGCCGCGUGAGUGAUGAAGGUCUUCGGAUCGUAAAACUCUGUUAUUAGGGAAGAACAAAUGUGUAAGUAACUAUGCACGUCUUGGCGGUACCUAAUCAGAAAGCCACGGCUAACUACGUG